RNAcentral lists this ribosomal RNA (280 nucleotides) under uncultured bacterium. RNAcentral's name for it is "partial 16S ribosomal RNA". It matches the Rfam family "Bacterial small subunit ribosomal RNA", at positions 355 to 627 of the family's 1533-position model. The record is from RNAcentral.
UGGGGAAUAUUGCACAAUGGGCGCAAGCCUGAUGCAGCCAUGCCGCGUGUGUGAAGAAGGCCUUCGGGUUGUAAAGCACUUUCAGCGAGGAGGAAGGCGUUAAGGUUAAUAACCUUAGCGAUUGACGUUACUCGCAGAAGAAGCACCGGCUAACUCCGUGCCAGCAGCCGCGGUAAUACGGAGGGUGCAAGCGUUAAUCGGAAUUACUGGGCGUAAAGCGCACGCAGGCGGUUUGUUAAGUCAGACGUGAAAUCCCCGAGCUUAACUUGGGAACUGCAUU